Molecule: ribosomal RNA, 497 nt
Filed under: uncultured bacterium
Lineage: Bacteria
Description: partial 16S ribosomal RNA
Rfam family: Bacterial small subunit ribosomal RNA
Source: RNAcentral
GAUGAACGCUGGCGGCGUGCCUAAUACAUGCAAGUCGAGCGAACAGACGAGGGGCUUGCUCCUCUGACGUUAGCGGCGGACGGGUGUGUAACAUGUGGAUAACCUCCCUUUACGACUGGGAUAACUUCGGGAAAACGGAGCUAAUACCGGAUAAUAUAUUGAACCGUAUGGUUCAAUUGUGAAAGACAGUUUUGCUAUCACUUAUUGAUGGAUCCGCGCCGCAUUAGCUAGUUGGUAUGGUAACGGCUUACCACGGCAACGAUGCGUAGCCGACCUGAGAGGGUGAUCGGCCACACUGGAACUGAGACACGGUCCAGACUCCUACGGGAGGCAGCAGUAGGGAAUCUUCCGCAAUGGGCGAAAGCCUGACGGAGCAACGCCGCGUGAGUAAUGAAGGUCUUCGGAUCGUAAAACUCUGUGAUUAGGGAAGAACAAAUGUGUAAGUAACUAUGCACGUCUUGACGGUACCUAAUCAGAAAGCCACGGCUAACUACGUG